This 405-nucleotide ribosomal RNA is filed under the name uncultured Anaeroplasma sp. RNAcentral describes it as "bacterial SSU rRNA". It matches the Rfam family "Bacterial small subunit ribosomal RNA", at positions 358 to 774 of the family's 1533-position model. The record is from RNAcentral. Lineage: Bacteria; Bacillati; Mycoplasmatota; Mollicutes; Anaeroplasmatales; Anaeroplasmataceae.
GGAAUUUUCGGCAAUGGACGGAAGUCUGACCGAGCAACGCCGCGUGAACGAAGAAGUAUUUCGGUAUGUAAAGUUCUUUUAUUAGGGACGAAAAGACAGAUUGACGGUACCUAAUGAAUAAGCUCCGGCUAACUACGUGCCAGCAGCCGCGGUAAUACGUAGGGAGCGAGCGUUAUCCGGAAUUAUUGGGCGUAAAGGGUGCGUAGACGGCAAUAAAAGUCUUUUGUUAAAGUGCUAAGCUCAACUUAGUGAUGCAAAAGAUACUGUAUAGCUAGAGUAUGGAAGAGGCAAGUGGAACUCCAUGUGUAGCGGUAAAAUGCGUAAAUAUAUGGAAGAACACCAGUGGCGAAGGCGGCUUGCUGGUCCGAUACUGACGUUGAGGCACGAAAGCGUGGGGAGCAAACA